GUGCCAGCAGCCGCGGUAAGACGUAGGUGGCAAGCGUUAUCCGGAGUUACUGGGCGUAAAGCGCGUGUAGGCGGGUGGAUAAGUGGUUCGUGAAAUAUCCAGGCUAAACCUGGGGAGGACGAAUCAGACUGUUCAUCUGGAGGCGGGUAGAGGGGUGCGGAAUUCCGGGUGUAGCGGUGAAAUGUGUAGAUAUCCGGAGGAACACCAGAGGUGCAGACGGCGCCCUGGGCCCGACCUGACGCUGAGACGCGAAAGCUUGGGGAGCGAACGGGAUUAGAUACCCUCGUAGUCC
RNAcentral lists this ribosomal RNA (292 nucleotides) under uncultured bacterium. RNAcentral describes it as "partial 16S ribosomal RNA". It matches the Rfam family "Bacterial small subunit ribosomal RNA", at positions 505 to 796 of the family's 1533-position model. The record is from RNAcentral.